RNAcentral lists this ribosomal RNA (497 nucleotides) under uncultured bacterium. Its description in RNAcentral is "partial 16S ribosomal RNA". It matches the Rfam family "Bacterial small subunit ribosomal RNA", at positions 28 to 507 of the family's 1533-position model. The record is from RNAcentral.
GAUGAACGCUGGCGGCGUGCCUAAUACAUGCAAGUCGAGCGAACAGACGAGAAGCUUGCUUCUCUGAUGUUAGCGGCGGACGGGUGAGUAACACGUGGAUAACCUACCUAUAAGACUGGGAUAACUUCGGGAAACCGGAGCUAAUACCGGAUAAUAUUUUGAACCGCAUGGUUCAAAAGUGAAAGACGGUCUUGCUGUCACUUAUAGAUGGAUCCGCGCUGCAUUAGCUAGUUGGUAAGGUAACGGCUUACCAAGGCAACGAUGCAUAGCCGACCUGAGAGGGUGAUCGGCCACACUGGAACUGAGACACGGUCCAGACUCCUACGGGAGGCAGCAGUAGGGAACCUUCCGCAAUGGGCGAAAGCCUGACGGAGCAACGCCGCGUGAGUGAUGAAGGUCUUCGGAUCGUAAAACUCUGUUAUUAGGGAAGAACAUAUGUGUAAGUAACUGUGCACAUCUUGACGGUACCUAAUCAGAAAGCCACGGCUAACUACGUG